Molecule: non-coding RNA, 384 nt
Organism: Echinops telfairi (small Madagascar hedgehog)
Lineage: Eukaryota; Metazoa; Chordata; Mammalia; Afrosoricida; Tenrecidae
Source: the annotation of a RefSeq genome assembly
AUGGCCUGGACUCCAUUCAUCCUCAUCCUCCUGACUCACUACACAGGAUCUUGGGCUGAGGUCAUGUUCACACAGCCCCACUCUGUGAAGGGGACUCCGGGGCAGGAGGUCAGGAUCUCAUGCAUCCGAAGCAGCGGCAACAUUGAGAACAAUUAUGUAUACUGGUACCAGCAGCACCCAGGAAGUGCUCCCAUCAAUGUGAUCUACAAAUAUAACCAAAGACCCUCUGGGAUUCCAGCUCGCUUCUCCGGCUCCAUGGAUAGCUCUUCCAACACCGCCUGGCUGACCAUCUCGGCACUGCAGCCAGAGGAUGAAGCAGAUUACUACUGUCUAUCUGGGUAUGACAACUAUGACACACAGUGCUCCAGGCCCACGAGGAAGUGA